AUUGUUCAGUACUAAGAGAUAGUAUCCCUUGAUAUAACAUGUAAACAGAAAUAAAAAGAGACUGUAAAAUCCAGGAAGAUAUCUCUGUGAGAUUAACUCACUCUUGCUUGCUUGUUUUUUGGUCCAACAUGACAUCUAUGCCUUUCUGGUAAGAUUAAAUAGACCAGCUGCAAUGCAUAGGCUAGAGAACUGUUUCUGUUCAGGAAAGGGAUAAUGAAGCUUACUUGGGAUGCAGAAUCUCUAACUCGGUCUGAUGGAAGUUUUUGAGGGUGUUUUCUCCCAUUUCUCAAGGAAAUAUUGUGACCACCAGGAUAAACUGGAAAGAAAGCUUCAACCUCUUUCAACCAGUCUGCUUUAAGAAGACUGUUGAUGUCAAGUGGAGAGUGGUACUCUCUUCAGCUUGGAUUCAUACCUGCCUUUCUGUGUCUCCCAUGUUACACCUGGAACCACUACUUGUUCAACAUCCCCACUGACAGCAAGAGGACUGCUUCAGCUGUAACUGUUCACAGUUAUGAGGUAUCCUGUCUGAAUCCUUAAGGACACACAAGGGCACUGCUGUAAUCAAUGGAAGUUGGGAAAAUGGUUUACGUAAUGUGGAAAUGCUUUUAUUUUGACUGUUCAUGCAAAAUCCCCUUGACACUCCAGCAUGCUUUUGAGCCUUUGAAUGCAAUAACUUUAUUUCCUAGUCAUGUCUUCCAAUGAGUAAAGAAAAUUUCAGGAUCGUGAUUCUAAUCCGUGAUUCUAAUCUUGGACAUAUCCCUUUGUCCCCAGGAAGCCCAUGACAAACAGAAGCUAAAGGUCUGACCAUGGUUUAUACUGGCAAGCAAUCAUGAUUCUUCUGAUACAGCAGCUUUUGGGGAACUCCUACAGAAUCUCACAGUACCUUAAAAAUGACAGCCUGGAAUGUGUACAUAUUUUCUCGCUAUCUUUGAAGUUAAUCAAUGUAGUUUAGUACAAGUCCUUUAGCAUGUAAUGUUGAUCCUUGUUAAGGUGAUUUUUCCUUUCUAGUGCACUUCAAGCAAAGUACAUUUGACAUUAGCACUGUUGGAUAAUCUUAGGCCCCUCAGUUUGAAUAUUUAAAGAAGGAUGUAAAAUAUCUUACUGAGAUGAAUCUUGUAAUGUUGGUAAAUUUAAAAACAGAACAAAACAAAACAAACAAAUAAAAAAACAAAAAACAGGUAUUUCA
This 1186-nucleotide long non-coding RNA is filed under the name Anas platyrhynchos platyrhynchos (common mallard). RNAcentral's name for it is "lncRNA (ENSAPLG00000030597.1)". Lineage: Eukaryota; Metazoa; Chordata; Aves; Anseriformes; Anatidae. The record is from RNAcentral.